AUACGGAGGACGCGAGCGUUAUCCGGAUUCAUUGGGUUUAAAGGGUGCGCAGGCGGCCGUGCAAGUCAGCGGUGAAAGCCCGGGGCCCAACCCCGGAAGUGCCGUUGAUACUGCAUGGCUUGAAUGCGGUCGAGGCGGGCGGAACGUGGCGUGUAGCGGUGAAAUGCGUAAAUGUGCCACAGAACGCCGAUAGCGGAGGCCGCUCGCCCGGCCUGCAUUGACGCUCGGGCACGAAAGCGUGGGGAUCGAACAGGAUUAGAUACCCUGGUAGUCCACGCCGUAAACGAUGGGCGCUCGUCGUCGGCGGCAGACAGUCGGCGGCCAAGCGAAAGCGAUAAGCGCCCCACCUGGGGAGUACGGUCGCAAGGCUGAAACUCAAAUGAAUUGACGGGG
RNAcentral lists this ribosomal RNA (393 nucleotides) under uncultured bacterium. RNAcentral describes it as "partial 16S ribosomal RNA". It matches the Rfam family "Bacterial small subunit ribosomal RNA", at positions 523 to 918 of the family's 1533-position model. The record is from RNAcentral.